AGCGAACGCUGGCGGCAGGCCUAACACAUGCAAGUCGAACGAACUCUUCGGAGUUAGUGGCGGACGGGUGAGUAACACGUGGGAACGUGCCUUUUGGUUCGGAAUAACUCAGGGAAACUUGUGCUAAUACCGAAUGUGCCCUUCGGGGGAAAGAUUUAUCGCCAUUAGAGCGGCCCGCGUCUGAUUAGCUAGUUGGUGAGGUAACGGCUCACCAAGGUGACGAUCAGUAGCUGGUCUGAGAGGAUGACCAGCCACACUGGGACUGAGACACGGCCCAGACUCCUACGGGAGGCAGCAGUGGGGAAUCUUGCGCAAUGGGCGAAAGCCUGACGCAGCCAUGCCGCGUGAAUGAUGAAGGUCUUAGGAUUGUAAAAUUCUUUCACCGGGGACGAUAAUGACGGUACCCGGAGAAGAAGCCCCGGCUAACUUCGU
This 432-nucleotide ribosomal RNA is filed under the name uncultured bacterium. RNAcentral's name for it is "partial 16S ribosomal RNA". It matches the Rfam family "Bacterial small subunit ribosomal RNA", at positions 29 to 506 of the family's 1533-position model. The record is from RNAcentral.